UAAUGCCGCGUACGUCGCGUUUCGAAAGGGAAACCGAGAAUAUCGGGUUAUCCCCUCGAAGUGCGCCGUUCUCGGCUUGU
Apis mellifera (honey bee) is the source of this 80-nucleotide non-coding RNA. The record is from RefSeq and is marked provisional. Lineage: Eukaryota; Metazoa; Arthropoda; Insecta; Hymenoptera; Apidae.